GAUGAACGCUGGCGGCGUGCCUAAUACAUGCAAGUCGAGCGAACGGACGAGAAGCUUGCUUCUCUGAUGUUAGCGGCGGACGGGUGAGUAACACGUGGAUAACCUACCUAUAAGACUGGGAUAACUUCGGGAAACCGGAGCUAAUACCGGAUGAUAUUUUGAACCGCAUGGUUCAACAGUGAAAGACGGUCUUGCUGUCACUUAUAGAUGGAUCCGCGCUGCAUUAGCUAGUUGGUAAGGUAACGGCUUACCAAGGCAACGAUGCAUAGUCGACCUGAGAGGGUGAUGGCCCAAACGGAAAUGGAGAAACGGUCAAGACUCCAAGGGAAGGAAGAGGAGGGAAAUCUUCCGAAAGGGGCGAAGGCUGGAGGAAGAAACGCGGGGGGGGUGAUGAAGGUCUUGGGAUGGUAAAACUCGGUUAUAAGGGAAAAAAAUAUGGGAAAGUAACUGGGAAGAUCUGGACGGUACCUAAUAAGAAAGCAACGGCUAACUACGU
RNAcentral lists this ribosomal RNA (496 nucleotides) under uncultured bacterium. RNAcentral's name for it is "partial 16S ribosomal RNA". It matches the Rfam family "Bacterial small subunit ribosomal RNA", at positions 28 to 506 of the family's 1533-position model. The record is from RNAcentral.